Molecule: ribosomal RNA, 253 nt
Filed under: uncultured bacterium
Lineage: Bacteria
Description: partial 16S ribosomal RNA
Rfam family: Bacterial small subunit ribosomal RNA
Source: RNAcentral
UACAGAGGGGGCAAGCGUUGUUCGGAAUUACUGGGCGUAAAGGGCGCGUAGGCGGCCUGCUAAGUCGAACGUGAAAUCCCUGGGCUCAACCCAGGAACUGCGUCCGAUACUGGUUGGCUUGAAUCCGGGAGAGGGAUGUGGAAUUCCAGGUGUAGCGGUGAAAUGCGUAGAGAUCGGGAGGAACACCAGCGGCGAAGGCGGCAAACUGGAUAGGAACUGACACUCAACAACGAAAGCGUGGGGAGCAAACAGG